Molecule: non-coding RNA, 95 nt
Organism: Lyophyllum atratum
Lineage: Eukaryota; Fungi; Basidiomycota; Agaricomycetes; Agaricales; Lyophyllaceae
Source: the annotation of a GenBank genome assembly
AGCAGCAUGGCGCAGCUGGAAGCGCGCGGGGCCCAUAUGUACCGCUCUAGGUUAUUUGAACCCCGAGGUCACUUGAUCGAAACAAGUUGCUGCUA